Molecule: small nucleolar RNA, 70 nt
Organism: Crocodylus porosus (Australian saltwater crocodile)
Lineage: Eukaryota; Metazoa; Chordata; Crocodylia; Crocodylidae
Gene: SNORD82
Rfam family: Small nucleolar RNA SNORD82
About the family: snoRNA U82 or Z25 is found in both humans and mice. U82/Z25 is a member of the C/D class of snoRNA which contain C (UGAUGA) and D (CUGA) box motifs.
Source: Ensembl
AGCACAGGUGAUGAGUACUAGGGACUUAAUACUGAAGUCUGAUGUCAGGUUUUUUUUAAAUCUGAUGUGC